CUCAGUUUCCCCUGGUCUGUUUCUUUUCCUAACUCCAUUUCGCCUGGUCCGUUAGAAAUUGUACGUACGUCCAGGGGGGCACCCGGCCCUGGGCAUUCAGCCCAUCCUCUGCGGGCAUUUGGCCCCCCGCUGGCCCUGCAGUAUGGGAGACUUCCCUACCCCAGAACCCAGGACAUCUGCAGGCAUCUGGCCCACCCCUGGCCCUGCAGUGUGAGAGACGUCCCUCACCCAGGCUCCCAGGCCGUCUUCCCUGACUUGGUGCGCUUGGGACACUGGGCGCUCCUCUCAGGAUUAGUUGGGAAGUUGCGCAGACAUGGGGAACCAGCCCUCAAAAGCGGAGGCCCAGACCCCAUUGCGGUGCCUCAUUUCUAAUUUGGCUACUCUAUUUGUCCUGGGAAGUUCGCAAAUAAAAGCUAGUCUUUCUUUGCUCUGAGGCCAGGCCUCAGUAUCCCUUGGACAAUCAAUCUUGCUGGCCCCCUGAGGGAAGUUUCAAUUGUAGCCUCCUCACCACCUUAAUUAAUUAUUGCCACUAGAGCAGAAAUUAGAGUGAAAUCACAUAUGUGCAGGCUUUUUGGACUUUGCACUCCAGUCCAAACCUUUAUGUUGUGUUCAGUAACUCAGGUUCUCCUACCCCGAUCUCCAGUUAAUCUCCCACCUCCCUCAACUCAUGAUCCCCUCCCCCUCUCUCCACCACCAUCUUUAAGUCCCUUGUCUUCACAUGUGUCGCCGCCAUCUUAAAAGUACUACAUUCUCAACCAUGCCGCUGUCCUGCUCUACUCUUCCGGUGGCUGCAACACCCCCUCCCCCUCUCCUUCCACCUUCACUGCCCUCUUCCCCCACCAGAAAACGCUCCUCCCGCCCUCUGGUUCCAGAAGCCACGGACUAGAAGCUGAAGAGAGGGAAGGCAAUUGGAUAUCAGUGACUCAAGUCGUUACAUCGGUUCCUCCAACAGCGGCUAACCCAGAUAACCCGGGUCGCCACCAACCAGAUGUUGCUUCACUGUUAUGCACCUCUUCCCACUGAACCUCCUCCUUCGGCCUAAUACCAGCCUCAAACCUCCAUGACACCCCUUAUCAGCCGGAAGUAGCCAGAUCGAGUCAUCACCCAUUAUGACAAAAAGGCUGGAAUGUUUGGCUGUAGGGAUCAGGGGAAGGGGUGAGCCUAAUGGACAAGCUCGGGCCUCACCAAAUGAUGCAAAGAGACCAACAGGUUCUGGUCUGACAACAUUCCGGAGCCUGAUCGGAUAACCCUCCCAACUAGAGCCCUUCCCCCAAGCUAAAUGAUUAGUGGUAACUUUCCAGUACCUGGCUAAAGGCCAAUGAGAGACCCCCAUGUACCCUAAAUGAGCCAAUCCUUGCACCAAUGUACACCUUUGCUCUCCCUCCCCCUGCCUUUAAAAACUUGCUGCCUGCCCUGCUGGGUGUGACUUCUCUGACCUAUAGUACCCAGGCUGUGGGAACAUCACCCAGGGGUGACAUUCAAAUAAAUUACCUGGCCCUUU
Long non-coding RNA from Manis pentadactyla (Chinese pangolin), 1501 nucleotides. RefSeq lists it as uncharacterized. The transcript is spliced from 2 exons. Lineage: Eukaryota; Metazoa; Chordata; Mammalia; Pholidota; Manidae. The record is from RefSeq and is a predicted model, not a curated record.